This 497-nucleotide ribosomal RNA is filed under the name uncultured bacterium. RNAcentral describes it as "partial 16S ribosomal RNA". It matches the Rfam family "Bacterial small subunit ribosomal RNA", at positions 28 to 507 of the family's 1533-position model. The record is from RNAcentral.
GAUGAACGCUGGCGGCGUGCCUAAUACAUGCAAGUCGAGCGAACAGACGAGGAGCUUGCUCCUCUGACGUUAGCGGCGGACGGGUGAGUAACACGUGGAUAACCUACCUAUAAGACUGGGAUAACUUCGGGAAACCGGAGCUAAUACCGGAUAAUAUAUUGAACCGCAUGGUUCAAUAGUGAAAGACGGUUUUGCUGUCACUUAUAGAUGGAUCCGCGCCGCAUUAGCUAGUUGGUAAGGUAACGGCUUACCAAGGCAACGAUGCGUAGCCGACCUGAGAGGGUGAUCGGCCACACUGGAACCGAGACACGGUCCAGACUCCUACGGGAGGCAGCAGUAGGGAAUCUUCCGCAAUGGGCGAAAGCCUGACGGAGCAACGCCGCGUGAGUGAUGAAGGUCUUCGGAUCGUGAAACUCUGUUAUUAGGGAAGAACAAAUGUGUAAGUAACUAUGCACGUCUUGACGGUACCUAAUCAGAAAGCCACGGCUAACUACGUG